RNAcentral lists this ribosomal RNA (445 nucleotides) under uncultured bacterium. RNAcentral's name for it is "partial 16S ribosomal RNA". It matches the Rfam family "Bacterial small subunit ribosomal RNA", at positions 354 to 796 of the family's 1533-position model. The record is from RNAcentral.
GUAGGGAAUAUUGGGCAAUGGAUGCAAGUCUGACCCAGCCAUCCCGCGUGCCGGAAGAAGGCCCUCAGGGUUGUAAACGGCUUUUGACGGUGAAGAAUCGACAGGAUGCGUCCUGUUUUGACGGUAGCCGUUGAAUAAGCACCGGCUAACUCCGUGCCAGCAGCCGCGGUAAUACGGAGGGUGCGAGGGUUGUCCGGAUUUAUUGGGUUUAAAGGGUGCGUAGGCUGGAAGGUCAGUCAGCGGUGAAAAGCUGUCGCUUAACGAUAGUCUUGCCGCAGAUACUUCCUUUCGUGGAUGAGGAGGAGGCCACUGGAACGGAUGGUGUAGCGGUGAAAUGCAUAGAUAUCAUCCAGAACACCGAUUGCGAAGGCAGGUGGCUGUACCUUAAUCGACGCUGAUGCACGAAAGCAUGGGGAGCAAACAGGAUUAGAAACCCUGGUAGUCC